UUGGUAGUGUAUUAGAUUUUCUUAGUGUUCUGAUAGAUUUCUAGCGAUGCGUGGCAAGGAAGCCACGCAAGGCGUAAUGCGACAUGGAUGUCGCAUAAAAGCCGUUCGCGUAUUAUUGAAUAGCUUGUACAGAACACUUAGAAAAUCUUAUAUACGGA
This 158-nucleotide non-coding RNA is filed under the name bovine gut metagenome. The record is from RNAcentral.